Molecule: long non-coding RNA, 629 nt
Organism: Alosa alosa (allis shad)
Lineage: Eukaryota; Metazoa; Chordata; Actinopteri; Clupeiformes; Clupeidae
Exons: 3
Source: RefSeq, a predicted model, not a curated record
AACGGUGUGUGAGCCUAUUUCUAUUUAUUCAGUCGCUCUGCAGGUAACUGUGACCCUCGAAACUGUAACAGAGGGGGGACGUGACCCUGACCUGCAGCACUUGCACUCAGAGUUACAACCCCACCAUCAUCUGGUACAAGAACAGGCAGCCUGUGUCUAACAACACAACAACCAGAGACAACAAGCUGCAUCUAGACCCAGUCAGCAGUGAGGAUGCAGGCAAUUACUCCUGUGCUGUAAAAGGAGAUGAGAGUCUCUCUUCAACCGCUGUCUUUCUCAAUGUCAGAUAUGUGCCAAAGAAUGUUGCAGUGUCCAUCAAAGCCUCUGGCGAAAUACAGGAAGGAACUUCAGUGACUCUGACCUGCAGCAGUGAUGCCAACCCACCAGUGCACAACUAUACCUGGUAUAUGAAGAGUGGAAAUGAAUCUGUUGUUAGGGGCACAGGGGAGAGUGUCAGCUUUGAUACCAGUGGACUCUACUACUGUGUGGCUCAGAAUGAAAUGGGCUCAACAUACUCUGAUGCAGUUACAGUUGUGACAGAAGACACAAAAGCUGCUGCCAUGAUGGUUCGAGCUGGAAUACUUUUUGUCAUUCUUACAAUCACACUGGUGCUCGGAAGUCGGUUGAGG